GACAGAGGGGGCAAGCGUUGUUCGGAAUUACUGGGUGUAAAGGGUUCGUAGGCGGUGUAGCAAGUCGGGAGUGAAAUCUCUGGGCUUAACCCAGAGGCUGCUUCCGAAACUGCUGUGCUUGAGUGUGGGAGAGGCGCGUGGAAUUGCAGGUGUAGCGGUGAAAUGCGUAGAUAUCUGCAGGAACACCCGUGGCGAAAGCGGCGCGCUGGACCACUACUGACGCUGAGGAACGAAAGCUAGGGGAGCAAACAGG
Molecule: ribosomal RNA, 253 nt
Filed under: uncultured bacterium
Lineage: Bacteria
Description: partial 16S ribosomal RNA
Rfam family: Bacterial small subunit ribosomal RNA
Source: RNAcentral